This 1391-nucleotide ribosomal RNA is filed under the name uncultured bacterium. RNAcentral describes it as "16S ribosomal RNA". It matches the Rfam family "Bacterial small subunit ribosomal RNA". The record is from RNAcentral.
GGCGACCGGCGCACUGGUGAGUAACACGUAUGCAACCUGCCCCAAUCCGGGGGAUAAGCUCGAGAAAUUGGGUCUAAUACCCCAUACGCUGACGGACCACAUGGUCUGUCAGUGAAAGAUUUAUCAGAUUGGGAUGGGCAUGCGGCGCAUUAGCUAGUUGGCGGGGUAACGGCCCACCAAGGCGACGAUGCGUAGGGGUUCUGAGAGGAAGGUCCCCCACAUUGGUACUGAGACACGGACCAAACUCCUUACGGGAGGCAGCAGUGAGGAAUAUUGGUCAAUGGACGAGAGUCUGAACCAGCCAAGUCGCGUGAGGGAGGAAGGUCCUAUGGAUUGUAAAACCUCUUUUGGCCCGGGGAGUUAACAAGCGGGACGUGUCCCGCCCUGAGAAGUACCCGGAGAAAAAGCAUCGGCUAACUCCGUGCCAGCAGCCGCGGUAAUACGGAGGAUGCGAGCGUUAUCCGGAUUUAUUGGGUUUAAAGGGUGCGCAGGCGGCGAGUCAAGUCAGCGGUCAAAGUGCGGAGCUCAACUCCGUAUCGCCGUUGAAACUGGUUUGCUAGAGUGCGUGCGAGGAAGGCGGAAUGCGUGGUGUAGCGGUGAAAUGCAUAGAUAUCACGCAGAACUCCGAUUGCGAAGGCAGCUUUCCAGCACGGCUUACUGACGCUCAUGGCCACCGAAAGCGUGGGGGAAUCGGAACAGGAUUAGAUUACCUGGUAGUCCACGCGGUAAACGAUGAUUACUAGAUAUUCGGGCCGAUUGGGGCCUGGUGUGUCACAGCCGAAAAGCCGUUAAGUAAUCCACCUGGGGAGUACGCCGGCAACGGUGAAACUCAAAGGAAUUGACCGGGGGCCCGCACAAGCGGAGGAACAUGUGGUUUAAUUCGAUGAUACGCGAGGAACCUUACCCGGGCUCAAACGCCAAGAGACGUAAUCUGAAAGGGUUAUUUCCGCAAGGACUGUUGGCGAGGUGCUGCAUGGUUGUCGUCAGCUCGUGCCGUGAGGUGUCGGCUUAAGUGCCAUAACGAGCGCAACCCCCAUUUUCAGUUGCCAUCGGGUGAUGCCGGGCACUCUGGAGAGACUGCCGGCGCAAGCUGUGAGGAAGGCGGGGAUGACGUCAAAUCAGCACGGCCCUUACGUCCAGGGCGACACACGUGUUACAAUGGCGGGGCACAGAAGGAAGCCAGGCGGCGACGCCGAGCCGAUCCCGAAAACCCGUCUCAGUUCGGAUCGGAGUCUGCAACUCGACUCCGUGAAGCUGGAUUCGCUAGUAAUCGCGCAUCAGCCAUGGCGCGGUGAAUACGUUCCCGGGCCUUGUACACACCGCCCGUCAAGCCAUGGAAGCUUGGAGUACCUAAAGUCCGUGACCGCAAGGACGGCCAAGGUAAGACAAGU